GUAAGGUCGGGAUACCCCGGGAACUGGGGAUAAUACCGGAUAGAUCAUCUGUGCUGGAAGGCUGGGUGGUUGAAACUUCCGGGGCUUUUGGAUGGGUCUGCGGCUGAUUAGGUUGUUGCCGGUGUAACGUACCGUCAAGCCUGUAAUCAGUACGGGUUGUGGGAGCAAGAGCCCGGAGAUGGAUUCUGAGACACGAAUCCAGGCCCUACGGGGCGCAGCAGGCGCGAAAACUCUACAAUGCAGGCAACUGCGAUAGGGGAACAUCGAGUGAUCCUCAUAUUGGGGGUCUGUCCACCCGUCUAAAAAACGGGUGUUAGCAAGGGCCGGGCAAGACCGGUGCCAGCCGCCGCGGUAAUACCGGCGGCUCGAGUGGUGGCCGAUAUUAUUGAGUCUAAAGGGUCCGUAGCCGGCUUUGCAAGUCUCUCGGGAAAUCCAGCGGCUUAACCGUUGGUCGUCCGGGGGGUACUACAUUGCUUGGGACUGGGAGAGGUAGGAGGUACUCAGGGGGUAGGAGUGAAAUCCUGUAAUCCUUUGGGGACCACCGGUGGCGAAGGCGUCCUACCAGAACAGGUCCGACGGUGAGGGACGAAAGCUAGGGGCACGAACCGGAUUAGAUACCCGGGUAGUCCUAGCCGUAAACGAUGCUCGCUAGGUGUCACAACAGUCGUGAAUUGUUGUGGUGCCGUAGGGAAGCCGUGAAGCGAGCCACUUGGGAAGUACGACCGCAAGGUUGAAACUUAAAGGAAUUGGCGGGGGAGCAC
RNAcentral lists this ribosomal RNA (761 nucleotides) under uncultured archaeon. Its description in RNAcentral is "bacterial SSU rRNA". It matches the Rfam family "Archaeal small subunit ribosomal RNA", at positions 115 to 879 of the family's 1478-position model. The record is from RNAcentral.